UUCUGGGAAACUGCCUGAUGGAGGGGGAUAACUACUGGAAACGGUAGCUAAUACCGCAUAACGUCGCAAGACCAAAGAGGGGGACCUUCGGGCCUCUUGCCAUCAGAUGUGCCCAGAUGGGAUUAGCUAGUAGGUGGGGUAACGGCUCACCUAGGCGACGAUCCCUAGCUGGUCUGAGAGGAUGACCAGCCACACUGGAACUGAGACACGGUCCAGACUCCUACGGGAGGCAGCAGUGGGGAAUAUUGCACAAUGGGCGCAAGCCUGAUGCAGCCAUGCCGCGUGUAUGAAGAAGGCCUUCGGGUUGUAAAGUACUUUCAGCGGGGAGGAAGGUGUUGUGGUUAAUAACCGCAGCAAUUGACGUUACCCGCAGAAGAAGCACCGGCUAACUCCGUGCCAGCAGCCGCGGUAAUACGGAGGGUGCAAGCGUUAAUCGGAAUUACUGGGCGUAAAGCGCACGCAGGCGGUCUGUCAAGUCGGAUGUGAAAUCCCCGGGCUCAACCUGGGAACUGCAUUCGAAACUGGCAGGCUAGAGUCUUGUAGAGGGGGGUAGAA
Molecule: ribosomal RNA, 555 nt
Filed under: Enterobacter sp. SAJ9
Lineage: Bacteria; Pseudomonadati; Pseudomonadota; Gammaproteobacteria; Enterobacterales; Enterobacteriaceae
Description: bacterial SSU rRNA
Rfam family: Bacterial small subunit ribosomal RNA
Source: RNAcentral